CCUACGGGAGGCAGCAGUGGGGAAUAUUGGGCAAUGGGCGCAAGCCUGACCCAGCAAAGCCGCGUGAAGGAAGAAGGCUUUCGGGUUGUAAACUUCUUUUCUGAGGGACGAAGAAAGUGACGGUACUUCAGGAAUAAGCAACGGCUAACUACGUGCCAGCAGCAGCGGUAAUACGUAGGGUGCAAGCGUUCUCCGGAUUUAUUGGGUGUAAAGGGCGUGUAGGCGGGAAAGCAAGUCAGAUGUGAAAACUCAGGGCUCAACCCUGAGCCUGCAUGUGAAACUGUUGUUCUUGAGUGCGGGAGAGGCAAUCGGAAUGCGUGGUGUAGCGGUGAAAUGCGUAGAUAUACGGAGGAACACCAGUUGCGAAGGCAGAUUGCUGGACAGUAACUGACGCUGAGGCACGAAAGCGUGGGGAUCAAACAGGAUUAGAUACCCGAGUAGUC
Molecule: ribosomal RNA, 443 nt
Filed under: uncultured bacterium
Lineage: Bacteria
Description: partial 16S ribosomal RNA
Rfam family: Bacterial small subunit ribosomal RNA
Source: RNAcentral